UCUCAAACGUUCCUCAGUUGAACAUCAUUCGCUCUCCUGAGUCUGAAGAAUACACUACGAGCAUUCCGUUCCCGACAAUGAUCUUCAUCAGAUUAAUCGCGAUGGCGCUGGCUAUCUUGACCGUAGCCUACUCUGCCGUAGCCAUUGCCGUAGCUAUUUCUGAAGCCGAUGCAGAUGCUUAUCCUGGCUACGGCGCUUACAACCACGGACACAUUUUUGGAAUUCAACAAGGUCUAAACGAUUACAGACCAGCCUACAGACCAUCCCACCCAACAGUGUACAAGCCAUAUUAUAACAGACCCCGCUACUCGUAGACUGCUGAAUGGGCUUCGGACCUGCGUUCCUCAUCGCCUUCAUAUAAUUCAUCUCAUCUUCUUCAUUUGUUUUUCAUCGCAGAAUCAAGUCAUGAGACUCCAUUGCACAGCCAUUGUAUUUUUUAUAACAAAAUGAUUAUUUGAAUCGGUCGUAAUAUAACAAUGAUUUUAGUACUA
Molecule: long non-coding RNA, 491 nt
Organism: Macrobrachium nipponense
Lineage: Eukaryota; Metazoa; Arthropoda; Malacostraca; Decapoda; Palaemonidae
Exons: 3
Source: RefSeq, a predicted model, not a curated record